AUGAAACAAACCGGGGGUGGCAGGGCAUGGCCUCGCACCAGAGGAGACGCCGUUGUGCAGGCUCGUCCUGCCCCCUCAUCCACAACCCACACACCUGUGCACCAAAGGGACGGCGGGUGGAUAACGCACGCCGUCUCGCUUUAACAAGCUCAAAAGUCUAUUUUGAAUGUCAUUUAUUCGGGCUAGCCCCGAUGUAACUUAGACAUAA
Molecule: unclassified non-coding RNA, 208 nt
Filed under: uncultured Trechisporales
Lineage: Eukaryota; Fungi; Basidiomycota; Agaricomycetes; Trechisporales
Description: sequence contains ITS1
Source: RNAcentral